UACAGAGGGGGCAAGCGUUGUCCGGAUUUACUGGGCGUACAGCGCGCGCAGGCGGACCUGGACGUGCCGUGUGACAAACCAUCGCUCACCGAUGGAGGGCCACGGUACACGACAGGUCUAGAGGCAGGGAGAGGGAUGUGGAAUGCCCGGUGGAGCGGUGAAAUGCGUAGAGAUCGGGCGGAACACCAGCGGCGAAGGCGGCUUUCUGGCCUGUUCUUGACGCUGAGGCGGCGAAAAGCUAGGGGAGCAAACGGG
RNAcentral lists this ribosomal RNA (255 nucleotides) under uncultured bacterium. RNAcentral describes it as "partial 16S ribosomal RNA". It matches the Rfam family "Bacterial small subunit ribosomal RNA", at positions 524 to 776 of the family's 1533-position model. The record is from RNAcentral.